Molecule: long non-coding RNA, 2573 nt
Filed under: Homo sapiens (human)
Lineage: Eukaryota; Metazoa; Chordata; Mammalia; Primates; Hominidae
Description: non-protein coding LINC01191:2
Source: RNAcentral
UGCCUGUCACGGAGGAGCAAGGAGUACGCUUGGAGAGGAAGAGGCAAUGGGUAGCUAUUUAAAUUCAUUGUAAACUGAGAAAACUGUAAACAGGGAUGACGCUGCUUAUGACAUAGUCACAUACACAGUGUCACAUAGUUAAGGGGAUCAGCCACAUUGAGUGUGGAUCUCUCCUCCUCUCGGAGCAACGUUCCUAUUGACAUUCGGAGAGGCACGCUGCCCCCAGAUGCUCAUUUUCAAACACAGGACGUGAGCAGUUUCACAAAUAUCCACCAGAUGGUACCUUCCUACCAGAAAUUAGGUUUCAGGUUGUGAAAAUCCAAAUUGUUUUUCCAUUCCACGGACAAGCUAUAGAAUUAGAUGCCUAUCCUGGCUACGGUCAGAGGAAAGAAAAUGGGUGAGAACCAAUUCCAGGGAACGACCCACGGAGUUUUUAUUCUCAAGAAUACCAAACAGAACUUGCAGGGUCCUUUGUGUGGUGGAGGGAGGCAGCUGCUGUGGAUGAGUCAUGGAAAGGCCAUGUGCAAGGGAAAGACCUUGAGGUUAUCUCCGGAGAGGGGUUGGUUGUAAACAUCCUCAAUGGCACCUUUGUUUUAUCCCACUAGUUGCCAAAUACCUGUGAUUCUGCACAGCGCUCCUGGAAUGCUCAGAAAUUAUGACUGGUUACUCUGUCAAAGAAAGUCUUUGUUGUAGAAACUUCCUCAUUUGUUCAGGCCUUUGGGUUCUAAGCCCUGAGCCAUAGUCUCCCCCGGUUGUUUGCCUGUGUGGGCUAGGGAGGGUGACUGAUGUUCACCGUGGGGUGACCACCUUGUCCUGGUUUGGCAGCUGCCUUCCUGCCUUUAGCAGUGACAGUAAAGCAAACCCAGGCGGUUGGUCAUCUCGGUGCACUGAGCUGUACACACCAGGGACAGUGCUGGAUCCUCACGCAGGUUCAAUGAGCUGGGCGAUUUGAGGUGGUAGAUGCCGUCUUCACAUGAUUAAUCAUUUUGUUCUUGGCAUUUUCCUAGUAGGUCUCCCUGCUUCCUUUUGCCAGAAAAGGUAAAGUUCUGGAGAAAGAGGUUUUUUCUUGGCUUUUGAGUUCAGGCCUUACAGAGGUAAAACCGAGUAGAUGUGGGAGAACAUGUGGUAAACAGAUACAACUUUCCCGGGAUGGGGAGAGAAAAAUAGUGAAACUCCAUCUCCACUAAAAAUACAAAAACUAGCCCGGCGUGGUGGCACGCGCCUGUAAUCCCAACUACUUGGGAGGCUGCGGCAGGUGAAUCACUUGAAGCCGGGAGGUGAAGGCCGCAGUAACGCUGUUCCCUGCAUUGGAUGAAGUGCUCCCCACCAAACUCUCUCACCGGAGAGGGUGGGAUCUGCGGGCUCCCUGGGUGGCUUGAUUUCGACACCCUGUGGGCUGCCUUCCACUCUGGUACUUUCCUCUGCCUGCUGAUGCUUGAAAUUCCUUGAACCGGCCACACACACCUGCUUUCUGGAAUCAGAACACUGGAAAGGCUUCCUGGGACGGGAGAAGAGUGAUUUACAUUCCUGCCGAGGUGUAAAGCUGCGGAUGGCAGGUUCUCUCCUGAGAACCGGCUUCAACUAGGAGGAGGAGGUUGGAAGCAGGACCCCGAGCUGACCUGUUGACCAGGAGAGGAGUAAGCAGAAGGGAGGCAGGAGCGGGCGGAGGAGAGAAGGCCGGGGAGCCGGGAUGGGGGUCACCGCCCCCGGGGAGCCGGGAUGGGGGUCACCGCCCCCGGGGAGCCCGGAUGGGGGUCACCGCCCCCGCCCCCGUGAUGCCGAGCUGAAAAAGACAGUCUCCAGGUAGGAUAAUCCGUCACACUAGAUGCAUAUAGCUUCAUGCAAGAAGAGCGACUGUUGCGCUGUCUUCUACCCCCUUUGGCCGCGAUCCCGUGACAAUGCCGGCAUCCGGGCACCAACUGGCUUUUGCGAACCGCUCUCCGCUCCCCGCCCGGAUUCCGAAGCCCGGAGCCGUUUACAGUUUGAGGCGCCGUGUGCCGCCCCCUGGUGGCCGGAGGCCGUUACUGUCGCGGCUGAAGGGGCGUGUCCCGGUGUAUCCGCAGCGCGCCCUGGCUGCCCCCUGGUGGCCGGAGGCCGUUACUGUCGCGGCUGAGGGGGCGUCCCGGUGUAUCCGCAGCGCGCCCUGUCCCGCCAUAUACAUUCCGUGCUUUUCAAACACCCGCCGUGGGCUAAGCAUGGGACCCACGUGGGGCGGGGACACACGGCGAUAAAGAGCCAGGCCCUCGCUGCCAAGGAGCUUUCCCGUAACACCGAUGCAUCAAACAAAAGGCAGCAGUGAGGAUGCCAGAGUUCAUGGGUUUCUAGAAGACAAGUUUUCAACUGCAGAUACAAACAUCAGGACGUCAAUGUAUCUGCUAGGAGACACCCGGACAGUGUUGAGAACACAGAACCUGGAGGCUAAACCCCCAGCUUUCUAUGCCAGCUGAGAGUCUGUGGGCACAUUACUCAGCGUCUCUGAACCUCAUGCUCCUCCCCUGUGACAUGUAGAUUGCUAAACCCAUCUCACAGGGCUAUCUUCUGCAUUUAAAGAAUAAAAUAACACAUGAGGGGUC